Long non-coding RNA from Brienomyrus brachyistius, 1231 nucleotides. RefSeq lists it as uncharacterized. Lineage: Eukaryota; Metazoa; Chordata; Actinopteri; Osteoglossiformes; Mormyridae. The transcript is spliced from 2 exons. The record is from RefSeq and is a predicted model, not a curated record.
CGGAUCUAGGAUUGAAAAAGCCGUGGCGGGAGAUUAGUGGGAGCUCUGCUCAUUGUUGGUUUGUUUGGUUUGCUUGCGUUUCUUUGGAUUGUUUGUGUAUGACAGAUUUUUGGUUUCCUGGUUUCCGACUUUUGCUUUGCCCCUCCUGUACCUUUGCCUUUGGUUUUGAUCUCUUGCCUUCCUACUGACUACUCUUUUUGCCUCGCCUCUCGGAUACUGCGUUUCGGCUUUCUGGUAUGUUCUGUAUGUUUGUGUCUGAUAAGUGCGUAGGGAGUGACUGCUGUUUUGUUUUCGCGUACGUGUGGUUUACUAUGUUUUUUGGUUAGGGAGUUAGGCUUAGUCUGUGUCAUUUCGUUUUCUCAUCUUUUCAUUUCAUUUAGAAUUAGCUUAGUUUGGAUUUGUUCGUUAGCACUGUUUUGUUUAUUGUUUUGGCCGUGUCACUCCCGAAGUCUGUUGCCUUAUUGUUUGUAAAAGUGUUUGUGAAUAAAUAUAAAAAAAUACAAAAAAAGAUCCCUUUGUUUCCCCUGUUCCCUUGUAUUAACAUAGUAUUUAAUUUAGGAUCAGUUCUAACAUAGUGUUUGGCCCUUUAAAUGAGCUGGUGGUGAAACUUUACAAAUAGAUGGAAUGGCUGAGGAGAGGUUUGGGAACUGAAGCGGUGUUCAUCUAACCAUCCAGUGAGAUGUUAGUAACUUUUUUUGGAGAACAGAAGAAAUUACUGUUAGUUAUUAUUGUGAUGGAACAAAAACAAAUGAAGGCUGUGUGUGUGUGUGUGUGUGUAUAUAUAUAUAUAUAUAUAUAUAUAUAUAUAAGAAUUCAAUGGCUUUGAGAAUUAUGUAUUUUAAUAAAUGUAUUACCUGUACAUUACCUCACCUGAAUCUUUUCGUAGGAAAUGCAGCAGAGUAUUACAUAAUUUUCUCUCUGCUGGAAUGUAAUGAAGAUGAGACCUUCAUUGAAAUGGUGCAGUGUGACCUGGGCCAGAGAUGGGCGCAUUUUCAACGUGCUAAAUUUGAGCCACAACAUGAGGGAAACUAUUUCUGCAACAAAAUGCAUACUGAAAUAGUUUUUAAGGAAAAGCACCGAAGAUUUUUGACAUGCACUUUACUCUUACAUUUUUUUUCUACCCAAAUUCUGAAUACUUAAAUCAGAAUAAAAAACAAUGUAUUUUGUUUAUUAUAUGUUAACUAGUAACUUUGUUUAAUUAUUAAAAUCGAAGUUGAGCGGUUUUAAUGAC